GCCGCCAUGGUGAAAUUGGUAGACACGCUGCUCUUAGGAAGCAGUGCUCAAGCAUCUCGGUUCGAAUCCGAGUGGC
RNAcentral lists this transfer RNA (76 nucleotides) under Aegilops markgrafii. RNAcentral describes it as "partial tRNA-Leu". It matches the Rfam family "tRNA". Rfam says of the family: Transfer RNA (tRNA) molecules are approximately 80 nucleotides in length. Their secondary structure includes four short double-helical elements and three loops (D, anti-codon, and T loops). The record is from RNAcentral. Lineage: Eukaryota; Viridiplantae; Streptophyta; Magnoliopsida; Poales; Poaceae.